GACGAACGCUGGCGGCGUGCUUAACACAUGCAAGUCGAACGGAAAGGCCCUGCUUUUGUGGGGUGCUCGAGUGGCGAACGGGUGAGUAACACGUGAGUAACCUGCCCUUGUCUUUGGGAUAACUUCAGGAAACUGGGGCUCAUACCGGAUAGGAGCUCCUGCUGCAUGGUGGGGGUUGGUAAGUUUCGGCGGUUGGGGAUGGACUCGCGGCUUAUCAGCUUGUUGGUGGGGUAGUGGCUUACCAAGGCUUUGACGGGUAGCCGGCCUGAGAGGGUGACCGGCGACAUUGGGACUGAGAUACGGCCCAGACUCCUACGGGAGGCAGCAGUGGGGAAUAUUGCACAAUGGGCGGAAGCCUGAUGCAGCAACGCCGCGUGCGGGAUGACGGCCUUCGGGUUGUAAACCGCUUUCGCCUGUGACGAAGCGUGAGUGACGGUAAUGGGUAAAGAAGCACCGGCUAACUACGUG
RNAcentral lists this ribosomal RNA (468 nucleotides) under uncultured bacterium. Its description in RNAcentral is "partial 16S ribosomal RNA". It matches the Rfam family "Bacterial small subunit ribosomal RNA", at positions 28 to 507 of the family's 1533-position model. The record is from RNAcentral.